Molecule: long non-coding RNA, 444 nt
Organism: Nerophis lumbriciformis (worm pipefish)
Lineage: Eukaryota; Metazoa; Chordata; Actinopteri; Syngnathiformes; Syngnathidae
Source: RefSeq, a predicted model, not a curated record
CAUUCUGGUCGCACUUCAACAUGACCUUUAUCCCCAGGCUCUGACGUGUGGUCUCAAAAGCCUGGGCCGCCUGCUCCAGGGGGAAGCGGUGAGUGACCAGAGGCUUCACGUUCACCUUUCCUGACGCCAACAUGGCGAUUGCCAUAGGCCAGCUACAACACAAUAUAGAGCAGGCUGGAGGGCAUGAAAUGAGAAGGACUACACAGGAGGCCUCAGCUGUGUAUGUUCAGCAGAGGGCUUUUCGACACAAAGGAGCCUGAUCUACUAAAGGUGUAUACCAGUAUACCAGUUGGCCACGGAUAAUUUCUGGCGACGUACCUGUCUGGAAGCAGCGCUAACUGUCCCAAGUCGUGACCUGGGGUGGACCACACCUCCAUGUAUCAGUGGUGACGUUUCUGCGUUGUUGGCUUGUCUACAUGGAAGAAGAUCCCCAUACGACCCUCU